This is a long non-coding RNA of Hirundo rustica (Barn swallow), 873 nucleotides long. RefSeq lists it as uncharacterized. The record is from RefSeq and is a predicted model, not a curated record. The transcript has 4 exons. NCBI's taxonomy places the organism in Eukaryota, Metazoa, Chordata, Aves, Passeriformes, Hirundinidae.
CUCGGGUACACCUCAGAGGUGAUUUUGAUCUCGGAGCUGUGAGAAGCGCGCAGGAGACUGUAUCAUGCCAUCAUUAGAAGGAAACCCCGAGGCCGCCUGUGCUGUCCAGGGUGGGGAGUCUGCAGAGCUGCUUCCUCUGCUGAGCUAAUGAAUGGCAUGUUGGUUUUGGAGCUGCUGUAAGGAGAAGAAGGAGUGGCAAUUAAUGGAAAAUACUGCAGCUACUGUUCUGCCCAGAAGCCUUGAGCCAGGUUCUCUGCAGGUGCUGCCAUUGGGUCACCCCAAAAUGUGAAGCUGAGCUCAAAAGGUUCAGCCUGUGUUCAGUUGACGCAUCAGGAGCUCCAGGGAUUUACUCAGAUUGUCUUAAUUAGAUACCCAGCAAUCACUCCAGCUGGAGAUUAUGCGUGUGAAAUUAGAGGCACUGGCAUUUUCAGAGCUUGUGUAGGUAUAAGAAUUGUUCAUUCUACGAAAUGCCCUUACUUCGCAGAAGUUAGAGUUGCUAAAAACUGCAGGCCAGCUACUGAGAUUUUUGCCUUCAACGUCUUCAGAACAUUCCAGCCAAUUUACAGGCAACUGCAUGGUUCCUUGCAGGCUCAGGGCCUCAAAGCCGAGGAACCCAAUAAAUAAGAAAUAUGUAUAACUAAAUAUAGCACCUCUACUUAAUCAUUUCAUUCCCUUCCACCUGCUUCCAAAGAACAAAGUUUCAAGCAAAAAUCCCUCAUGUCAAGUUUCAUCUGUCUUACCAUAUUUCUGAGUGAAUUGCUGCUCCCCGCUGCCCCUCCCAACAGGAGUUCACAGAAGUGCAGCAAGACCUUAUUAUUCUGUUUAUGAUAGGAUGGUCUAUUCCAGUACGAUGCAGUCCAUAGUAAAUCCAUC